UUCAAAUAAAAUUCUACUUUGUAAACGUGGAGAAAUAUCUCUCCAUUUUAACACUGAAGAACAAGUUGUGGGAAUGUCUUUGAUUGUCAACAGUGUUGUGUAAAUAGUAUCGUUGUUGUUUUGGUGUUACGAAACGUCAUUGUCAAUCAAAAGCGUGAAGGUUUAAGAGGUUUGUUAUAGCUGUGACAGUGUGUGUUAACUGAUGCUGGACUGGGAACGAAAGGUUAUAAAUAGGAAAAAUGUUUCAUUAUUUACUGAUGUUCCUGGCUCUAUGUCACUGCGCACAGGCAGCAAGCGAUUUCGACUUUGGAGACGCUCUAGCGCUUAUAUUGGGCUUGAUUAUUAGCAUGGUUGGAAUUUGCGCUUGUCUUGGUUGUUAUGCAAGGAGAAGAAGCAACAUGGAAACACUUUAAUAAUGAUGACGUUCUUAACGAGGUUUAUUGGCAUUAAAUGCAGCACAUUGUGAUUAUGGAAGAGAAAAAUGUGAUGUGAAGAAAUGAGAAGUCAUUUUUACACUUCACUCAACUUUAUGGCUUUUCUUUGUGCCUUUAAUGAAUGUGCCUGAACAGUGGAAUGAUUUAGCAGAUACUUGUGGAAAAAUUGUAAUUUCUCACCUUUGAAUACAAUUGUGUGUAGACAUGUCAGCUAUAGUUUUAAUUCUGCACAACUGGAUAUCCAGUAUUUCUUUAGUGUUAAGUUACAGUGUGCCUAGAAAUAUUGUACGCCAUGUUACAUGACAUGUGCAUUUGAUGUGAUAUAACAUUUUGAUUUUUACUUUCAAUAAAAAAUGUAAUUUGUUAAA
This 802-nucleotide long non-coding RNA is filed under the name Schistocerca americana (American grasshopper). RNAcentral describes it as "uncharacterized LOC124613060". The record is from RNAcentral. Lineage: Eukaryota; Metazoa; Arthropoda; Insecta; Orthoptera; Acrididae.